RNAcentral lists this long non-coding RNA (1385 nucleotides) under Ixodes scapularis (black-legged tick). Its description in RNAcentral is "uncharacterized LOC115329671, transcript variant X1". The record is from RNAcentral. Lineage: Eukaryota; Metazoa; Arthropoda; Arachnida; Ixodida; Ixodidae.
CCUGCCGGCGAAGAGGAGUUUGUAAAACUAAAAUAGUUACCGAUCAAGCCAAGACUCGAGUAAUCUUUUAUUCCAGUGACCAUACGCAUGCCGGUGACCCCACCAAGAUAAACGUGCUUCGGGAUCGUCAUUAGAUGAAGGAAAAGGCUGUGGAAGGCCGUCUAGCACCGCACGAAAUACUUCUGAAUGCGGGUGCCUGUGUCAGUGAUGACACCGCAUCGCAGAUUCCCGCACCGACCACACUUCGGCGCACAAUCCGCAAGCAAAGGCAGCGGGCGAAUUUCGAGUAUAGCGUACCAUCUUCCAGAGCCGAGAUACGAAUGCGCACAGAGGUUUAGGUAAAGUGUAUUGCAGCGCAACUUCCCAGUGCGCGACAUAUUAGGACAAUAGUGACUGUUUAGCCUGCAUGCAGACCACAGUCAAAGGAGAUUCUUUUCUCCUCCACUACAGCGGAGAGAGCGAUAGCGAAAGGAUCAAGAUCUCUGCUACCAAGCGCAACUUGAGUUGUCAGGCUCAGGCGUCUACGUGGUUUGCGGACGGGACCUUUAAAGUCACCCCGGCACAGUUUUACCAACUGUAAACGGUGCAUGCCACAGUCAAUGGCGUGUUAGUGCCAAGGGUUUAUAGCUUACUGCCAACAAAUCUGAAGCUACCUACAGAAGGUUUUUCGACGUCGUGCUGAGUCACAUGGGGGCCAACUACCUUGAGGUGGCUUACACAGACGUCUAGAUAGUGGCCAUCAACGCAAUACAAGCCAUCAUUCCCGGCGCUAGUAUACAGGGACCCUUUUUUUCACUUCUCCCAGUCGGUGUACAGGAAGAUGUACUCUAGUGGUCACCAGAGUCGCUACAAUUCCGAUGAAGAGUUUGCUGUUCUGACGAGAAUGCUUCCAGCAUUGGCCUUCUUGCCAACCACCGACAUUUCCGAGGCCUUCCAGGACCUUCUCGAGGUUUUCCCCACCGAUGCCUCACUCGUGGCGGACUGCUUUGAGGACGUGUAUAUCGCGAGACCCCGUAGAAAAGGGUUGUCGUCGGCCACCUUCCUACUCUGGCUUGGUCAGUCAGAUAAUCAAUACUAGCAGAAAUGCCAAGGACUAACAUCAGCAUCGCUGCGUGGCACCGGGGACUGCAGAACAACGUGGGCUAUAGUUCUCCCAUUAUCUGGGCGUUCCUGGGCUGCAUCAAGAGAGAGCAGUCCUUGACAGAGAUGAAGCUGGCUCAAGCAGAGGGCGGCACGACAUCUCAGAGGGUAUCGAAAAAGCAUGCCGACUGGAACCGGCGUCUUCAGAUCAUUGUGAGCCGCUACGACGGUAGCAAUCAUCUUGAAACCUUGAGGGCGGCAGCUCGGAAUAUCGCUCUUUAAGGUGUUUUUAUUUCGCUCAAUAA